UACGUAGGGUGCGAGCGUUGUCCGGAAUUAUUGGGCGUAAAGAGCUCGUAGGCGGUGUGUCGCGUCGGCCGUGAAAACCUGCAGCUUAACUGUGGGCUUGCGGUCGAUACGGGCAUCACUGGAGUUCGGCAGGGGAGACUGGAAUUCCUGGUGUAGCGGUGAAAUGCGCAGAUAUCAGGAGGAACACCGGUGGCGAAGGCGGUUCUCUGGGCAUGUCCUGACGCUGAGGAGCGAAAGCGUGGGGAGCAAACAGG
RNAcentral lists this ribosomal RNA (254 nucleotides) under uncultured bacterium. Its description in RNAcentral is "partial 16S ribosomal RNA". It matches the Rfam family "Bacterial small subunit ribosomal RNA", at positions 524 to 776 of the family's 1533-position model. The record is from RNAcentral.